AUUGAACGCUGGCGGCAGGCCUAACACAUGCAAGUCGGACGGUAGCACAGAGAGCUUGCUCUUGGGUGACGAGUGGCGGACGGGUGAGUAAUGUCUGGGGAUCUGCCCGAUAGAGGGGGAUAACCACUGGAAACGGUGGCUAAUACCGCAUAACGUCGCAAGACCAAAGAGGGGGACCUUCGGGCCUCUCACUAUCGGAUGAACCCAGAUGGGAUUAGCUAGUAGGCGGGGUAAUGGCCAACCUAGGCGACGAUCCCUAGCUGGUCUGAGAGGAUGACCAGACAGACUGGAACUGAGACACGGUCCAGAAUCCUACGGGAGGAAGCAGUGGGGAAUAUUGCACAAUGGGCGCAAGCCUGAUGCAGCCAUGCCGCGUGUAUGAAGAAGGCCUUCGGGUUGUAAAGUACUUUCAGCGGGGAGGAAGGCGACGCGGUUAAUAACCGCGUCGAUUGACGUUACCCGCAGAAGAAGCACCGGCUAACUCCGUGCCAGCCGCCGCCGUAA
Molecule: ribosomal RNA, 504 nt
Filed under: uncultured bacterium
Lineage: Bacteria
Description: partial 16S ribosomal RNA
Rfam family: Bacterial small subunit ribosomal RNA
Source: RNAcentral